GACGUAGGGCGCGAGCGUUGUCCGGAUUUAUUGGGCGUAAAGAGCUCGUAGGCGGCUUGUCGCGUCGAAUGUGAAAACCCACGGCUCAACUGUGGGCUUGCAUUCGAUACGGGCAGACUGGAGGUAUGCAGGGGAGAACGGAAUUCCCGGUGUAGUGGUGAAAUGCGUAGAGAUCGGGAGGAACACCUGUGGCGAAGGCGGCCCCCUGGGCCGGCCCUGACACUGAGACGCGAAGGCGUGGGGGAGCGAACGGG
This 254-nucleotide ribosomal RNA is filed under the name uncultured bacterium. RNAcentral's name for it is "partial 16S ribosomal RNA". It matches the Rfam family "Bacterial small subunit ribosomal RNA", at positions 524 to 776 of the family's 1533-position model. The record is from RNAcentral.